GGGGAAUAUUGCACAAUGGGCGCAAGCCUGAUGCAGCCAUGCCGCGUGUGUGAAGAAGGCCUUCGGGUUGUAAAGCACUUUCAGCGAGGAGGAAGGGUAGUGUGUUAAUAGCACAUUGCAUUGACGUUACUCGCAGAAGAAGCACCGGCUAACUCCGUGCCAGCAGCCGCGGUAAUACGGAGGGUGCAAGCGUUAAUCGGAAUUACUGGGCGUAAAGCGCACGCAGGCGGUUUGUUAAGUCAGAUGUGAAAUCCCCGCGCUUAACGUGGGAACUGCAUUUGAAACUGGCAAGCUAGAGUCUUGUAGAGGGGGGUAGAAUUCCAGGUGUAGCGGUGAAAUGCGUAGAGAUCUGGAGGAAUACCGGUGGCGAAGGCGGCCCCCUGGACAAAGACUGACGCUCAGGUGCGAAAGCGUGGGAAGCAAACAGGAUUAGAUACCCUGGUAGUCCACGCUGUAAACGAUGUCGACUUGGAGGUUGUGCCCUUGAGGCGUGGCUUCCGGAGCUAACGCGUUAAGUCGACCGCCUGGGGGAGUACGGCCGCAAGGUUAAAAC
This 553-nucleotide ribosomal RNA is filed under the name uncultured bacterium. RNAcentral's name for it is "partial 16S ribosomal RNA". It matches the Rfam family "Bacterial small subunit ribosomal RNA", at positions 356 to 900 of the family's 1533-position model. The record is from RNAcentral.